AUGUUCCGCGUUCGGCUAGAGAAUGACACCAUCAUCCUAGGCUAUAUUUCAGGAAAGAUACGGUCUAGUUCUAUACGAAUACUGAUGGGGGAUAGGGUCAAAAUUGAAGUAAGUCGUUAUGAUUCAAGCAAGGGACGUAUAAUUUAUAGACUUCCCCAUAAGGAUUCGAAGCGUAUCGAAGACUCAAAGGAUAGCGAAAAUUUGAAGGAUAGCGAAGAUUUGAAGGAUACCAAAGAUUCAAAGGAUUAG
This 249-nucleotide ribosomal RNA is filed under the name Triticum aestivum (bread wheat). RNAcentral describes it as "partial small subunit ribosomal RNA". Lineage: Eukaryota; Viridiplantae; Streptophyta; Magnoliopsida; Poales; Poaceae. The record is from RNAcentral.